GUUUAGAUUUAAUAGUAGCGUAUAUCUCAGACUAUAAAACUGCUAAUUAGUACGAUUUUGUUAUCUGAAAGAGAAACAACGCAAUUGGGUUAAAUACUGUGAACAGUUAUACAUGGAAUUUUAUGUAUAUACGUAUGUUAGGGAAUAUUCGUUUUUGGAAGCAGUCAUAAAUGAUUUGGGAUAAUAAUUGUUGUCGAACGCC
This 202-nucleotide long non-coding RNA is filed under the name Mytilus galloprovincialis (Mediterranean mussel). Lineage: Eukaryota; Metazoa; Mollusca; Bivalvia; Mytilida; Mytilidae. The record is from RNAcentral.